Molecule: ribosomal RNA, 497 nt
Filed under: uncultured bacterium
Lineage: Bacteria
Description: partial 16S ribosomal RNA
Rfam family: Bacterial small subunit ribosomal RNA
Source: RNAcentral
GACGAACGCUGGCGGCGUGCCUAAUACAUGCAAGUUGAGCGCUGAAGGUUGGUACUUGUACCAACUGGAUGAGCAGCGAACGGGUGAGUAACGCGUGGGGAAUCUGCCUUUGAGCGGGGGACAACAUUUGGAAACGAUUGCUAAUACCGCAUAAAAACUUUAAACACAAGUUUUAAGUUUGAAAGAUGCAAUUGCAUCACUCAAAGAUGAUCCCGCGUUGUAUUAGCUAGUUGGUGAGGUAAAGGCUCACCAAGGCGAUGAUACAUAGCCGACCUGAGAGGGUGAUCGGCCACAUUGGGACUGAGACACGGCCCAAACUCCUACGGGAGGCAGCAGUAGGGAAUCUUCGGCAAUGGACGAAAGUCUGACCGAGCAACGCCGCGUGAGUGAAGAAGGUUUUCGGAUCGUAAAACUCUGUUGGUAGAGAAGAACGUUGGUGAGAGUGGAAAGCUCAUCAAGUGACGGUAACUACCCAGAAAGGGACGGCUAACUACGUG